Pezoporus occidentalis (night parrot) is the source of this 1724-nucleotide long non-coding RNA. RefSeq lists it as uncharacterized. Lineage: Eukaryota; Metazoa; Chordata; Aves; Psittaciformes; Psittacidae. The transcript has 3 exons. The record is from RefSeq and is a predicted model, not a curated record.
GUGAGGCGUAGGGACCCUGGAAACACCACACUGCUGUUACACAUUGCUCACAGUGUUGCUUUGCACCUUGCCUGCUGAAGAUGCACAGAGGAAAAGGCGGUGGCUUUGGUCCUGCUAAGAGCUGAACACCCUCAAGGUGUCCUGACACCCAAAGGACCUGGGAGCUGAUUGGGACCUCACAGUGAGGCUCAGCAACUUGUGGGGUCCUGGCCUACUGCUACACACUGAACGUACAAGGAAAGGGGCAGCAGCUCCUGGGAAAUGAGGUUGUGUUGCUGGCUACCGUCUCCAUGAAGCUUCUGCUCUGUGUCAACAGCCUGGUUUGACUGCAACACCUACAGGUUUUCCUUAGGAUACUUGAAGGGAAAGACAGAGAUGAAACAGAGACUUGGCCUUCCAUACCCCACGGGACAGCACGUUCCUCCUCAGAAAGGGGUUGUCAUUGUGGCUUAGUGGUUCAUGGGGUGCUACAUCAGCGGAAGCGGAAGGAGGCACCCCUUGCCUUUUAGCAUCUUUGCAGGUACCGUGUGUUGAACAGGGACCCCCUCCAACUGGACCUCAGCCUAUGCAAGGGAUGCGCCUCUCUGGGAUUUGGAUUGGGUUCCACAGUGCUAAAUUCAGACUUUGCUCUGCUUUCCCGCACUUGAUUUCAUAGCCCUGCAGACAUGAUUCUCCAAAGUGCAAGAAAGGACACAUCCCCUCAUUCAGAUGUCUUUACUGCAGAGCUCACGGAUGCCUCUCCCAGCCUGGAUGAGCAUUUACCAGGGGAAGCAGGUGAGGGAGCUGAAAAAUUGCAGCUGUUUCUUCUCGCUCUUGUAAGCAACCCCAGUGCUAAUUGGCAUCCCUGUCUUUGCUGGUGAGUGAUGCAAUGUGCACCCCAAGAACAGAAGCAUCUGCUUCCGUUCCAGGCAACAAGGUCUUCUGCACAGGAGAACAUGGUAAUAAUUUAUGUGCAUAUAAAUGAAAUGAUACACUUCAAAAUCUACCAAAAUAAGUGGAGUUUUCUUUUUUUCUUCUUAAAAAAAACCCAAAACAUUGUAGAUCAAAGCUUAAUUAAUUUGUGAAAUCCUGUGGCUUGCAUGUGUAGACACAUUUCGAUGAUCAUAUUAUUCCCUUCUGGCCAUAUAAUCUAUGAGUGAGGUUUUCUGCAACGUGCUCCCCUUUCUUGAUUAUGCAGCUCUUUCAGAAAAGCCCUAUUAUUUUUUUUUCCAUAUAAAUAGGACCGGAGGAAGAUGGCUUUUGAUUUAUACACAAAUCAAUACUCCCUUCUGAUUGAACUCAGUGCUAUGCUGCUGUAAUUAUAUUCAUGGGUUUUGUGUAGGUGUAAGACAGGAAGCAAUUAUCAGCUGCAGCCAUGAACGAUUAUAAAAGACAUUUCACUUUUCUUUGGAACCAUAACAUUAACAACAUUCUCUGUCUAACGUAAGCCCUUUUUCUCGUGACUUCUGCUAACUGCACUGUUGUUCAGCUGAGGAAAAAGUCAUGGCAGAUAGCUGUGAUUAAAUAACAUCUGCAUGAGUUUAGGGUGCUGCAGUGUUUGGAGCUUUGCCUUACUGAAAAUCCCAAUGCUUUUAAUUUGUAUCAAAACAGGUGAUUGGUUCAAGCAUCUUUUUCUAUUUAGCUGAAAGUUAAUCAUGGUUGUAAUUCAUUCCUUAGUGAUUCUCUGCAGUGGCAGGUGUCGCAGGAGCAUGUCAUCAAGGCAGUUUAACUGGGAAAAGACAUGG